UGGGGAAUAUUGCACAAUGGGCGCAAGCCUGAUGCAGCGACGCCGCGUGCGGGAUGGAGGCCUUCGGGUUGUAAACCGCUUUUGUUUGGGAGCAAGCCCUUCGGGGUGAGUGUACCUUUCGAAUAAGCACCGGCUAACUACGUGCCAGCAGCCGCGGUAAUACGUAGGGUGCGAGCGUUAUCCGGAUUUAUUGGGCGUAAAGGGCUCGUAGGCGGUUCGUCGCGUCCGGUGUGAAAGUCCAUCGCCUAACGGUGGAUCUGCGCCGGGUACGGGCGGGCUGGAGUGCGGUAGGGGAGACUGGAAUUCCCGGUGUAACGGUGGAAUGUGUAGAUAUCGGGAAGAACACCAAUGGCGAAGGCAGGUCUCUGGGCCGUUACUGACGCUGAGGAGCGAAAGCGUGGGGAGCGAACAG
This 412-nucleotide ribosomal RNA is filed under the name uncultured bacterium. RNAcentral's name for it is "bacterial SSU rRNA". It matches the Rfam family "Bacterial small subunit ribosomal RNA", at positions 355 to 775 of the family's 1533-position model. The record is from RNAcentral.